This 1035-nucleotide long non-coding RNA is filed under the name Mytilus galloprovincialis (Mediterranean mussel). Lineage: Eukaryota; Metazoa; Mollusca; Bivalvia; Mytilida; Mytilidae. The record is from RNAcentral.
CGCCGCUUUAUUACGCAAUAAUAUAUAUGAAUAUGACAAUUCUUGCGUUUUUUGUUGAAAAAGAUUCAAAGCAAAAUUCACUACAUGAAGUUUAUAUAAUUCAAACAUUUACAAAACAAAACAUUUGCUCCGGAGUGAAAGCAUAAAAUUGGUUUCAAACAACGGAUGGUCGGUCUUCCAUUUUGCUGCACACAAUAAUGAUGUCGCAAUAAUGGAUAUUAUAAGUGAAAAUGCAAUAAAAAGCUGUCACAACCUACAUCAAAGUAUUGUGAAAACUCUAAGUUUACCGAUAUAAUAUAUGCCAUUAAUACUAGAGAUAAACUUGGCUGGACUCCUCUUCAUCUAGCGUCUGCUUUGUGUAAAUAUGAAGUUGUGGAUUUUCUUAUGAGAAAAGGUGUAGAUGCUCAUUUAGUUGACCUUGAUGGAAAAACACCUUUUCAUUCUGCCAGCAAUAAACGGAUUACUAGUUUUCUAUUCAAACAGAGUCAUACAAAAUACAUGUUAAGUAAGGAAUCCAUCAAGACAUUUAAAAAUGAAAGUCAUUCACAUGAAGACGAUGAUUUCGGGACAGAAAUUCAUGAUAAUAUGAAGAACUGGCAACCCUCUUUCAUUUCGUUAAUCUAUGUUACAUGUAUGAAUUUUCUUAUUAUUUUCAACUGUAAAGAUGAAAAGUGAAGAUGACAGCAUAGAAUCCGUACAAAUGCUUUUAGGAAAAAGUGCUAACCACUUAUUUUAUAACACGAGCAGUUACCUACCAAAUGAUGUUGCCUUCAAUCGAAGCUCGUACGAAGUAAAACGCUUCCUCGAUAUGUAUACAAUGCAUGUAGCGAAGAGGAGUAUGUGGGUACUAGUUUUAAUAUCAAUCAUAACAUUCCUUUUGGUCAUAUUCCUUUGUCUAGUUCCUUUCUACGUUUUUCCAAGCUAUGAAAAUAAUGAUGUUUAUAACAAUUCAUAUUAUAUGAAUACUGCCACUGCCUGUAUCUUAUUCGAUUAUCCAAAUAGAACUUCACAUAGUGAUGUAAUUUUUAUCCAGUA